This 279-nucleotide unclassified non-coding RNA is filed under the name plant metagenome. Its description in RNAcentral is "partial contains small subunit ribosomal RNA, internal transcribed spacer 1, and 5.8S ribosomal RNA". The record is from RNAcentral.
UCUCCGUUGGUGAACCAGCGGAGGGAUCAUUACCGAGUUUACAACUCCCAAACUCUUGUGAACAUACCACUUGUUGCCUCGGCGGAUCAGCCCGCUCCCGGUAAAACGGGAGGGCACGCCAGAGGACCCCUAAACUCUGUUUCUAUAUGUAAAUUAUGAGUAAAACCAAAAAAAAAUAAAAACUUUCAACAAAGGAUCUCUUGGUUCUGGCAUGGAUGAAGAAAGCAGCAGAACGGAAGAGAAAACGCAUGUACUCCAGUCAGGACCAACUACCUCGUA